GCGGAAGUAGUUCAGUGGUAGAACAUCACCUUGCCAAGGUGGGGGUCGCGGGUUCGAAUCCCGUCUUCCGCUC
Molecule: transfer RNA, 73 nt
Filed under: Ligilactobacillus agilis
Lineage: Bacteria; Bacillati; Bacillota; Bacilli; Lactobacillales; Lactobacillaceae
Description: tRNA-Gly
Rfam family: tRNA
About the family: Transfer RNA (tRNA) molecules are approximately 80 nucleotides in length. Their secondary structure includes four short double-helical elements and three loops (D, anti-codon, and T loops).
Source: RNAcentral